RNAcentral lists this ribosomal RNA (460 nucleotides) under uncultured Methanomicrobiales archaeon. RNAcentral describes it as "bacterial SSU rRNA". It matches the Rfam family "Archaeal small subunit ribosomal RNA", at positions 878 to 1338 of the family's 1478-position model. The record is from RNAcentral. Lineage: Archaea; Methanobacteriati; Methanobacteriota; Methanomicrobia; Methanomicrobiales.
ACCACAACGGGUGGAGCUUGCGGUUUAAUUGGAUUCAACGCCGGAAAUCUUACCGGGACCGACAGCAAUAUGAAGGCCAGGCUGAAGACUUUGCCGGAUUAGCUGAGAGGUGGUGCAUGGCCGUCGUCAGUUCGUACUGUGAAGCAUCCUGUUAAGUCAGGCAACGAGCGAGACCCACGCCAACAGUUGCCAGCUCGUCCUCCGGGAUGGUGGGGACACUGUUGGGACCGCUCUGCUAAAGAGGAGGAAGGAAUGGGCAACGGUAGGUCAGCAUGCCCCGAAUUAUCUGGGCUACACGCGGGCUACAAUGGGUGGGACAAUGGGUAUCGACACCGAAAGGUGAAGGCAAUCUCCUAAACCCAUCCGUAGUUCGGAUUGUGGGCUGCAACUCGCCCACAUGAAGCUGGAAUCUGUAGUAAUCGUGUCUCAAAAUGGCACGGUGAAUAUGUCCCUGCUCCUU